This 468-nucleotide ribosomal RNA is filed under the name uncultured bacterium. RNAcentral's name for it is "partial 16S ribosomal RNA". It matches the Rfam family "Bacterial small subunit ribosomal RNA", at positions 28 to 507 of the family's 1533-position model. The record is from RNAcentral.
GACGAACGCUGGCGGCGUGCCUAACACAUGCAAGUCGAACGGAAAGGCCCUGCUCUUGUGGGGUGCUCGAGUGGCGAACGGGGGAGAAACACGUGAGUAACCUGCCCCUGAUAUUGGGAUAACAUCAGGAAACUGGGGCUAUUACAGCAUAGGAGAUCUUGCUCCACGGUGGGGAUAGGAAAGUUUCGGCGGUUGUGGAUGGACUCGCAGCUUAUCGGCUUGUUGGUGGGGUAGUGGCUUACCAAGGCUUUGACGGAUAGCCGGCCUGAGAGCGUGACCGGCCUCCGUGCGACUACGGUACGGCCCAGAAUCCUACGGUAGGCAACAGUGGGGAGUCUUGCACAGUGGGGGGACGCCUGAGGCGGAGGCGCCGGGUGCGGAAAAACCGCCUUCGGGUUGAGAACCGCUUUCUCCGGAACCGAGGAGUGCGUGACGGUACUUGGUCAGGAAGCACCGGCUAACUACGUG